RNAcentral lists this ribosomal RNA (460 nucleotides) under uncultured bacterium. Its description in RNAcentral is "partial 16S ribosomal RNA". It matches the Rfam family "Bacterial small subunit ribosomal RNA", at positions 338 to 795 of the family's 1533-position model. The record is from RNAcentral.
CCUACGUGAGACAGCAGUGAGGAAUAUUGGUCAAUGGACGAGAGUCUGAACCAGCCAAGUAGCGUGAAGGAUGACUGCCCUAUGGGUUGUAAACUUCUUUUAUAAAGGAAUAAAACGAGGCACGUGUGCCUUUUUGCAUGUACUUUAUGAAUAAGGAUCGGCUAACUCCGUGCCAGCAGCCGCGGUAAUACGGAGGAUCCGAGCGUUAUCCGGAUUUAUUGGGUUUAAAGGGAGCGUAGAUGGGUUGUUAAGUCAGUUGUGAAAGUUUGCGGCUCAACCGUAAAAUUGCAAUUGAUACUGGCAGUCUUGAGUACAGUUGAGGUAAGCGGAAUUCGUGGGGUAGCGGUGGAAUGCUUAGAUAUCACGAAGAACCCCGAUUGCGAAGGCAGCUUACUAAACUGUGACUGACAUUGAUGCUCGAAAGUGUGGGUAUCAAACAGGAUUAGAUACCCGGGUAGUC